GACGAACGCUGGCGGCGUGCUUAACACAUGCAAGUCGAACGGAAAGGCCCUGCUUGCAGGGUACUCGAGUGGCGAACGGGUGAGUAACACGUGGGUGAUCUGCCCUGCACUUCGGGAUAAGCCUGGGAAACUGGGUCUAAUACCGGAUAGGAGCCAUUUUUAGUGUGAUGGUUGGAAAGUUUUUUCGGUGUAGGAUGAGCUCGCGGCCUAUCAGCUUGUUGGUGGGGUAAUGGCCUACCAAGGCGGCGACGGGUAGCCGGCCUGAGAGGGUGGACGGCCACAUUGGGACUGAGAUACGGCCCAGACUCCUACGGGAGGCAGCAGUGGGGAAUAUUGCACAAUGGGCGCAAGCCUGAUGCAGCGACGCCGCGUGGGGGAUGACGGCCUUCGGGUUGUAAACUCCUUUCGCUAGGGACGAAGCUUUUUGUGACGGUACCUAGAAGAAGCACCGGCUAACUACGU
Molecule: ribosomal RNA, 462 nt
Filed under: uncultured bacterium
Lineage: Bacteria
Description: partial 16S ribosomal RNA
Rfam family: Bacterial small subunit ribosomal RNA
Source: RNAcentral